This is a non-coding RNA of Lynx canadensis (Canada lynx), 73 nucleotides long. The record is from the annotation of a RefSeq genome assembly. Lineage: Eukaryota; Metazoa; Chordata; Mammalia; Carnivora; Felidae.
GCCUGCCUGGUUCAGUUGGUAGAGCAUGUGACUCUCGAUCUUGGGGUCGUGGGUUUAAGUCCCACAGUGGGCG